This 253-nucleotide ribosomal RNA is filed under the name uncultured bacterium. RNAcentral describes it as "partial 16S ribosomal RNA". It matches the Rfam family "Bacterial small subunit ribosomal RNA", at positions 524 to 776 of the family's 1533-position model. The record is from RNAcentral.
UACAGAGGGUGCAAGCGUUAAUCGGAAUUACUGGGCGUAAAGCGUGCGCAGGCGGUUGUGCAAGACAGAGGUGAAAUCCCCGGGCUUAACCUGGGAAUGGCCUUUGUGACUGCACGGCUAGAGUGUGUCAGAGGGGGGUAGAAUUCCACGUGUAGCAGUGAAAUGCGUAGAGAUGUGGAGGAAUACCGAUGGCGAAGGCAGCCCCCUGGGAUAACACUGACGCUCAGGCACGAAAGCGUGGGGAGCAAACAGG